UUGCACUGGAAAACGAAAACGAGCGUUUCUUAUUGGACAACCUCAGGCAGUCCAUUUUCCUGUGUUUGGUACCUAAAUGAAUAGGCUGUAACCCGGAUCAGCUGCUGCAAAAAUGGCGGACAGAAAUACCUGGAUGGAAGCAAAUGGACUCUUGAAACAACCAGCAAACCAGGAUGUCGUCUUGUGGAACAGUGGAUGUAAAGAAUCUAGCCAGCUAAAGCGUUUACUGCAAAUUGAAUGUACAGUUUUGUAAGCUUGCCUUGUGGAUAACGUAACUAGCUAACUAUUUUCUUGUUUAUUGGGCAGUGGAGGAUAAUAUCCCUGUAUACCUAUGGAAGUGUAGCUGUCUAGCAGAUCUGUGUGUGGACCCAAACGUUUGGUAUACAUAUUGGUUCAGAACCAAGAUAUGAACUUAAGCUAUCAUAGCCGGUUGUAUCAACUUCAAAACAGUAUGACUGUCAUCAAUGAAGCCUAUGGAUUGAGUAGAAUAUAAUAUAACUAAGUGCCAAGGAUGCACGUCGUAUAUACAUGUAGCAUGAGAUCCCCACAUUGUAGCCUGUACAUUUAAUAUAUUCACUGAUCAUGUACUAAACAUUGGCAAAUAAAGGUGCAGUUCAGGUCUGAAUGUC
This is a long non-coding RNA of Oncorhynchus masou masou (cherry salmon), 629 nucleotides long. RefSeq lists it as uncharacterized. The record is from RefSeq and is a predicted model, not a curated record. The transcript has 2 exons. NCBI's taxonomy places the organism in Eukaryota, Metazoa, Chordata, Actinopteri, Salmoniformes, Salmonidae.